This 254-nucleotide ribosomal RNA is filed under the name uncultured bacterium. Its description in RNAcentral is "partial 16S ribosomal RNA". It matches the Rfam family "Bacterial small subunit ribosomal RNA", at positions 524 to 776 of the family's 1533-position model. The record is from RNAcentral.
UACGGAGGGUGCGAGCGUUGUCCGGAAUCAUUGGGCGUAAAGGGCGCGUAGGUGGCCCGGUCAGUCUUUGGUGAAAGCGCGGGGCUCAACCCUGCGUCGGCCAGGGAUACUGCCGCGGCUCGAGCACUGUAGAGGCAGGCGGAAUUCCUGGUGUAGCGGUGAAAUGCGUAGAGAUCAGGAAGAACACCGGUGGCGAAGGCGCUCUGCUAGGCCGUAACUGACACUGAGGGACGAAAGCUAGGGGAGCGAAUGGG